This 451-nucleotide ribosomal RNA is filed under the name uncultured bacterium. RNAcentral describes it as "bacterial SSU rRNA". It matches the Rfam family "Bacterial small subunit ribosomal RNA", at positions 29 to 524 of the family's 1533-position model. The record is from RNAcentral.
AACGAACGCUGGCGGCAGGCCUCAAACAUGCAAGUCUAGGGGUGUAGCAAUACAUCACCGGCGGACGGGUGCGUAACGCGUGGGAAUAUACCUAUCGAUUCGGAACAACUGAGGGAAACUUCAGCUAAUACCGAAUACGUCCUAACGGAGAAAGAUUUAUCGUCGAUAGAUUAGCCCGCGUUCGAUUAGCUAGUUGGUGGGGUAACGGCCCACCAAGGCGACGAUCGAUAGCUGUUCUGAGAGGAAGAUCAGCCACACUGGGACUGAGACACGGCCCAGACUCCUACGGGAGGCAGCAGUUGGGAAUCUUGGACAAUGGGGGAAACCCUGAUCCAGCCAUGCCGCGUGAGUGAUGAAGGCCUUAGGGUUGUAAAGAUCUUUCAGUGGGGAAGAUAAUGACGGUGCCCACAGAAGAAGCCCCGGCUAACUCCGUGCCAGCAGCCGCGGUAAU